RNAcentral lists this ribosomal RNA (492 nucleotides) under uncultured bacterium. Its description in RNAcentral is "partial 16S ribosomal RNA". It matches the Rfam family "Bacterial small subunit ribosomal RNA", at positions 29 to 507 of the family's 1533-position model. The record is from RNAcentral.
AGUGAACGCUGGCGGUAGGCCUAACACAUGCAAGUCGAACGGCAGCACAGUAAGAGCUUGCUCUUACGGGUGGCGAGUGGCGGACGGGUGAGGAAUACAUCGGAAUCUACUUUUUCGUGGGGGAUAACGUAGGGAAACUUACGCUAAUACCGCAUACGACCUACGGUUGAAAGCAGGGGAUCUUCGGACCUUGCGCGAUUGAAUGAGCCGAUGUCGGAUUAGCUAGUUGGCGGGGUAAAGGCCCACCAAGGCGACGAUCCGUAGCUGGUCUGAGAGGAUGAUCAGCUACACUGGAACUGAGACACGGUCCAGACUACUACGGGAGGCAGCAGUGGGGAAUAUUGGACAAUGGGCGCAAGCCUGAUCCAGCCAUACCGCGUGGGUGAAGAAGGCCUUCGGGUUGUAAAGCCCUUUUGUUGGGAAAGAAAAGCAGCAGGUUAAUACCCCGCUGUUCUGACGGUACCCAAAGAAUAAGCACCGGCUAACUUCGUG